This is a non-coding RNA of Cyanistes caeruleus (blue tit), 902 nucleotides long. NCBI's taxonomy places the organism in Eukaryota, Metazoa, Chordata, Aves, Passeriformes, Paridae. The record is from RefSeq and is a predicted model, not a curated record.
GAUUCCAUUAUCUUCCUCUCACUAAAUCGAUAAACGAAUUGCUGCCAUCCCCUUUUAUAGAUUUUUGCUUUCCAGAUCCGUCACUUGCGAGUUUUGGACUUCUCUUCCCCUUACAAACGAAAGAACAACUCACAAACAGCGUUGAUUGCCCAACUCGCCAGAUUGCCCAACUCUCAGAAGCACUUGUCUCUGCUUCCCCCUCCCCAGCACGCCAGUUCUGCUCCUCCUGCACUCACAAAUGUGGCGCUUUGUGAACCAGCUGCCCUCGGCCGUUGUGUUUAUUGCUGCAACAAUAACAGCGGCACUUCCUCGCUGGGGAUGCGGGGAGCUCGGCAAACAGGGCCGGUGCCAGGCACGGCACUGGGUGGGAUGGAGCAGCAGCAGCCUGGGGAGGCUGCUCCUGGAGCCUCUGCCCCAGCAGAGAGCAUUUGGGCAAAGAUCUUCCACCGAGUGUUCAAAGGCAGCUCGUGGCACACUCGGAAACUUAGCAAACUAAUGAGGAGGAGGAGGAGGAGAGUUUAAGCAACGAGGAGAGACUGCAGGCACUGGCAUUGCUGUGGAAAGCCACGUCCACCGUAGGGAGGACAAGCUGUUAAAAAUCCUUUGGAUUUCUGCAUAUUUCAAGCCUGGCCGAGCUGCCACAGGUGACUCAGGGAACAAAGCCGUGGAUCCCACGCACUGCAGCCAGGCUCGUCCUUGCCUUGCUGCAAAAGAUCUUAGCCCGGGGAUCAGAGCUUUGUUUUGGAAGGGAUGUUCCGUUUCGUUAAGGAGAAGGAUUUUCGGUUUAGGGGCGGUGUUGUGCUUGCCUGGCUGCUCGUGCCUGCAAGGCUCGGCAGUUUGGGAUGGGACACCAUGCACCUUAGCAUUUCCCUUCGACAAAAUAAAGAAAGGGACAAAAGAAA